GCUUCAAAUGCCUUUAAAAAUUGUCAAUUCAAUUAGCUGAUGGGAUGGGCGAAUAUGGAUCUUGAAAUGUUUUAACAUUGCCAGGCCGCGAGAAUACCACCUGCUCAGAUAUCCUUAUCGAGGUUUUGUACUUUAUGCUCAAGGAUGUUUGAAUAAGGUCAAUGGGUCUUCCUAUAGGCUUAUAGCUGCUUCAGAUCUUCUCAAGCAGCAGGUGAUGGAACAGGAUGGCUGGUAUACCAUGUGCUAAUGGUAUGUUUCGGUUGAUAUGGCGGAUUGAGAGUGACAAGGAAAGGGAGACCUGUAUCGCCUAAAUUCUGCAACACUCU
Cryptomeria japonica (Japanese cedar) is the source of this 326-nucleotide long non-coding RNA. RefSeq lists it as uncharacterized. Lineage: Eukaryota; Viridiplantae; Streptophyta; Pinopsida; Cupressales; Cupressaceae. The record is from RefSeq and is a predicted model, not a curated record. The transcript has 3 exons.